GACAGUAUAGGCCAGUGGAAAGGCCACCAGAUUGGGAUUCAGGAGAUCCAGGUUCUAGUCCCAGCUCUGCCU
Molecule: transfer RNA, 72 nt
Filed under: Ornithorhynchus anatinus (platypus)
Lineage: Eukaryota; Metazoa; Chordata; Mammalia; Monotremata; Ornithorhynchidae
Rfam family: tRNA
About the family: Transfer RNA (tRNA) molecules are approximately 80 nucleotides in length.
Source: Rfam by way of RNAcentral